RNAcentral lists this small RNA (67 nucleotides) under Flavobacterium sp. 102. RNAcentral describes it as "Flavo-1 RNA". Lineage: Bacteria; Pseudomonadati; Bacteroidota; Flavobacteriia; Flavobacteriales; Flavobacteriaceae. The record is from RNAcentral.
GCUUCGCUCGUGUGCAGUGAAAAUCCUUUUUUGCAAAAAAAGAUUGCAACGCAUAGCCGGAAAAAGC